CCUACGGGAGGCAGCAGUGAGGAAUAUUGCUCAAUGCCCGAAAGGGUGAAGCAGCAACGCCGCGUGAGGGAUGAAGUUCGUAAGGAUGUAAACCUCUGUAGGGAGGGAAAAAUAUGGCGCCCAGGCGCCAUUGAUUGUACCUCCAAAGUAAGCCCCGGCCCACUACGUGCCAGCAGCCGCGGUAAUACGUAGGGGGCGAGCGUUGUCCGGAAUCACUGGGUGUAAAGGGUCCGCAGGCGGGUGGGUAAGUCGGUGGUGAAAUCUUUCCGCUUAACGGGAAAAUUGCCUCCGAGACUGCUCAUCUUGAGUACGGGAGAGGGUGAUGGAAUUCCCAGUGUAGGAGUGAAAUCCGUAGAUAUUGGGAGGAACACCGGUGGCGAAGGCGGCUCUCUGGACCGAUACUGACGCUGAGACGCGAAAGCGUGGGGAGCAAACAGGAUUAGAUACCCCGGUAGU
Molecule: ribosomal RNA, 456 nt
Filed under: uncultured bacterium
Lineage: Bacteria
Description: partial 16S ribosomal RNA
Rfam family: Bacterial small subunit ribosomal RNA
Source: RNAcentral